CACGUAGGGGGCGAGCGUUGUCCGGAUUUAUUGGGCGUAAAGAGCUCGUAGGCGGUUUCGUAAGUCGGGUGUGAAAACCCCAGGCUCAACCUGGGGACGCCACCCGAUACUGCGAUGACUAGAGUCCGGUAGGGGAGUGUGGAAUUCCUGGUGUAGCGGUGAAAUGCGCAGAUAUCAGGAGGAACACCAACGGCGAAGGCAGCACUCUGGGCCGGAACUGACGCUGAGGAGCGAAAGCGUGGGUAGCGAACAGG
This 254-nucleotide ribosomal RNA is filed under the name uncultured bacterium. Its description in RNAcentral is "partial 16S ribosomal RNA". It matches the Rfam family "Bacterial small subunit ribosomal RNA", at positions 524 to 776 of the family's 1533-position model. The record is from RNAcentral.